RNAcentral lists this ribosomal RNA (207 nucleotides) under uncultured bacterium. Its description in RNAcentral is "partial 16S ribosomal RNA". It matches the Rfam family "Bacterial small subunit ribosomal RNA", at positions 568 to 774 of the family's 1533-position model. The record is from RNAcentral.
CGCGUAGGCGGUUUGUUAAGUCGGAUGUGAAAGCCCCGGGCUCAACCUGGGAACUGCAUUCGAUACUGGCCGACUGGAGUGCGAGAGAGGGAGGUAGAAUUCCACGUGUAGCGGUGAAAUGCGUAGAUAUGUGGAGGAAUACCGGUGGCGAAGGCGGCCUCCUGGCUCGACACUGACGCUGAGGUGCGAAAGCGUGGGGAGCAAACA